RNAcentral lists this ribosomal RNA (330 nucleotides) under uncultured bacterium. Its description in RNAcentral is "bacterial SSU rRNA". It matches the Rfam family "Bacterial small subunit ribosomal RNA", at positions 588 to 916 of the family's 1533-position model. The record is from RNAcentral.
UCUGCUGUUAAAAAGUGGAGCUUAACUCCAUCAUGGCAGUGGAAACUGUUGGGCUUGAGUGUGGUAGGGGCAGAGGGAAUUCCCGGUGUAGCGGUGAAAUGCGUAGAUAUCGGGAAGAACACCAGUGGCGAAGGCGCUCUGCUGGGCCAUCACUGACGCUCAUGGACGAAAGCCAGGGGAGCGAAAGGGAUUAGAUACCCCUGUAGUCCUGGCCGUAAACGAUGAACACUAGGUGUCGGGGGAAUCGACCCCCUCGGUGUCGUAGCCAACACGUUAAGUGUUCCGCCUGGGGAGUACGCACGCAAGUGUGAAACUCAAAUGAAUUGACGG